This 1779-nucleotide long non-coding RNA is filed under the name Olea europaea subsp. europaea. Lineage: Eukaryota; Viridiplantae; Streptophyta; Magnoliopsida; Lamiales; Oleaceae. The record is from RNAcentral.
CAUUGUCCUAUUUGUCCAUUCUUCUACUCAACCUACCACUCCUCCACUGCUAUUACUCCUUAACUACUCUUCUUCAUCAUUUUCUUUCCAUUCUUUCAAAAAAUUCAAACAAUUGAAAUCUGUCUGAAUUCGGAUUUGCAAAAGAAGGCCAAAUUGUACAUACUAUUGCUAUGGGUUCAUCAGUUACUCUUAUGUAAGUUACUCGAUUACUUUCUUUCUAUUUAUUCAAAUAGAAUCGAUCGAAUUUGACAAAUUUAAUUCAGUUGGGUUUGAACACAGAUUGCAUCGAUGGGCAGAGAAGUCUUUGCGAAGCACAGAGAUACGUGGUCUCUGCGCUACGCAAAGAUUGCAGUGCAGAUUAAAUGAAUUGCAAGUCUGAAUGAUAACAGUGAAUUUGUUUGUGCGAAAAUUGUCUAUUUCUUUCUUAAUUUUUCAUUCAACAAAUUGAUGCAUCGAUUAUGUUGCAGUAUUGGAUAUACUAAGCAUUUGGACAAAAAAUUGGACAUAGAUAUAAAACAUUACAGAGUCCACGAAUGCACAAAUGGAAGUCAAAUGGUUAAGCAAUUUUUGACUGCUCAAGAAGUAUGAUUUUUUUAAUGAAUUGUGCAUUUAAUCAUGUUUAUUUGAAAAGAAAUUUAAAAGAAAUCAUUCCAAUAUUUUAUUACAAUUACAAAUUUGAGUAGUUGCAGUGUUAGAAGCGUUAUACCUUGUUGCAAUUUUUUAGGUAGGUAGAUGAAGAUCUUGUGUUAGGUUGUUAUGGUAUGUAAAAGUUAUACCUUCAAUUGUGUCCGUUUCUUAAAUUUUCCUUCGUUUGAUUUCGUGUAAUUGUUUAAAAAUUAGCAGAAUUCUUUUCUUACUUGACUGUCAAACAAUUGUACUCGUCUUUUUCAUCGAGUUUUCUCUCUUCUUGGAGCAAUUUUUCUGCCUUAUGUUGUUUGCAUUGUUCUCCUUCAUGCUUCAUUUCUUAAUACAUAUACUCUUGUAUUUUUUUAUGUGGUUGAAAGAAAGUAUUGAAACUAAAAAUCAGAUUUUAAUCCCUAUCAAACAGGAGUUAAAUAGUAAUCUUAUGCCAAACUGACAUAACAUAUUUAAAAACAACCUGAGGAAUAUAUUGCUUGAAUAUGGGUUAACAUGUUUGUGUAAUGGUUGUGAUAGUUUUAGUGCCUUAAGAUCUUAUAACUCUUUCAUGUAGCCUCUAUUUUUUUGUUAGUAUUCUCAGAUUAAUUCUAAUUAUAUUGGAAGUCACUAUUCAAUUUUCUUUGUUGUUUCUUGAUUUAUUGAAGAUGCAAUAUGAUAUAUAAAUAUAUUAUUAAAGAAGAUAAUUUUUUUAAUGCUUUCCAUAGGUUAAAAAAGAUGAAGCAGCACUAUAGACAAAUCAGCAAACUGAUCAUUUGAAAUAGAAAGAAAUCCACAGAGAAAACACUCUCCAUGUAGUGCGAAAAAUGCAUAGAGUGGAGAGGUGUGCACGCACACUCUCCGUGUUGCACUGAGAGGCGCACGCGAAGAGUACCUUUCAGCUCUACCGGAAGGUGCAGAGGCGAUGCGAAAAGUGCCUCUCCGCGGUACGCGGAGAGCAGUCUCUCUGGGCUGCUUGGAGAUCCGUGCAGCUCCAAUUUUUUUCUUUUUUCUCAUUUCUUUAAGCUAAAAACCUCAACUUCCCGGUUUUUGAAGAAAUUUUAGGAUUGUCAAUUUUUGGUAAAACUUUAGUCAAAUUUGACUGAAAACGUGCCAAUGAACAAAAUUUAGCAGCUUCGCUACUGAUGUGGGGGCCAAUUUAGC